CAUAUACUGUUCUAACUGACCUGACAAAACAGUAACGCUGCUAAAUUUCAUGAAAAACGAUGUGCCGCAUUUUCUCGUGAUCACACCGAUGCUCCGAAAGUAGGACGCAGUGAAACAAUAAUGCACUUAUGCGCGCCCCUUGUUCAUAUGCUUGUAAAUGUUGUUUAUGUAUGUAUACAUCGAUCACGAUCAAAACAGUGUUUAGAGAGGAGUGAAAUAUGCUAUGUAGUAUGGCAAUAGAUUCCAGCUUCGGCCGGACAUAUACAAGUGGUGCAAUUCAAUUAACUGACCUGGAAGGAUAACGGUCGCUCCUGCACCAAGUGAACCAGCGUAGGAUGUAGUUGCAGUCGGGAAUUUUAACGUGAUGGUGUUAUUUCUGGACAAACCAGGGCAAUUCGCCCAUUCCGGAAUGGUUUCCUUUUGCGACGGGUGCCGACGAUGUGAAAUGCAGUUGGCUCGAUUCUGCGAUGAUCUUGUUGGUGACUUCCCGGUCACAGAAUAAGCGGAAUGAAGUGUGAAAUAUCCUGAUUAUGUGCAAUGUAGCAAUAAAUGUCACAAGUGAAGGUAA
Topomyia yanbarensis is the source of this 568-nucleotide long non-coding RNA. RefSeq lists it as uncharacterized. NCBI's taxonomy places the organism in Eukaryota, Metazoa, Arthropoda, Insecta, Diptera, Culicidae. The record is from RefSeq and is a predicted model, not a curated record. The transcript is spliced from 2 exons.